GUUAGUGAAGUAUUAACCACUGAACAAAAUGUCAGUCAGAAAGCAAUUCUUUAGUGCUUGGAAAAAGCAUUAUAAUAUUUUGUCUGUACCAUUCUAUACCAUAAUUAUGAUUGUGGUAGAAGAAAUAAUGGAGACUGAAUUUAAAUGUCCUCAGCAGGCAAGAUUAAAGCUUUACUACGUUAUGUCCUAUUUUUUGCUUCCAGUUUCAAUUAUAUUUUUCCUGAGCUUGAUCUUCCAGCCUUCCUGCAUCCCCUGGGCUCGCUGCAUGAAGAAAUACUCAGUUUCGCAGAAAGCUGAAAUAAUUUGCAGAGCACUUUUACCUCCUCUACUUUGGUGUGUGAUCCUGCUGUUGGAUGGAAGAUACAUUGACUGCGUGAUUUCAAUAAAUGAAGGAAACAGGACUCAAAAGACAACACAAAACACAGCAACGGAAUCACCUACUGUUGCCUACAUGCUCUCCCAGGUUUCUGGGCUGCUUGUUCUUACUGUUCUUGUCAUUGCUUAUGGCCUGUACACUGUAUAUCCAUUUUGGUUCUGCUGUAAUGAUGAAGAAGGACAUGGAAGAGAGCAGAUGGAGCUCCUAUUAGAGGAAAAAACAGAGGAAUAUAUUAAAGAAAGCACGACAGAGAAUGCACAGCAGAUAAUUAAGCAGCAUCUGGAGCCUACAAUCAAGCCUCUCCUCAUAGAGUAUUUGGGAAAAACAGAUUUUAAAAAACUGUGGGAAAAUACAGGGAAGUCUAUGAAGUAUCUUGCUGAGAAGUGGUGGAACGACGAAGGACAGGAGUUGACUGCUGUCUCUUCUCCAACUUAAAAUGUGCCACUUAUUAAGUGUCUUACAGCAACAUAACUUUCUGAGCACAAGCGUCAGCAUCUAGCUCACCAUUAAAGGGAGAUCACAAAUUAAGAUGCCUCAUUCAUCCUCAGGUGAAUCAGCCUUCUGGAAGGCUUAGUAUCCAGCUUUAUUGAAGGAAAAACUUUGACCUGUUGCUCAGAAGAGGGCAGACAGGGAAUGAACAUUAAUCAGAAGAACACACCCUUGGCCUCUAGAGACAAGGUUUGAACCUGUGACUCAAUUGUACUGUGCUUUUCCACCCAAGUGGAGCUCAGCUCCCUUCAGUGCAUAUCGGGAAUUUGGGGUCUUUUGCUCUGUUCUUUCAAAUUGUAUUCACUUUUAUGGAGUUUUACAGGACUCUGAAGUGAUGGUGGAAUUCCCAGCUUGCCUUUGACAAAGACAGUCUCGCUCCAGAUGAAUUACAGGCUCAGAUUUCUAUGAGCAGGGCAAUCCUUUCCUUUCAGGAAUUCAGCCAACUCCUCUCUUUAUGACCUUGUGUGAGGGGAUGGUGACACAUGUUUGGGUGGGAAAUUAAAGUUGGGCUGGAAAAAUA
Molecule: long non-coding RNA, 1385 nt
Organism: Dromaius novaehollandiae (emu)
Lineage: Eukaryota; Metazoa; Chordata; Aves; Casuariiformes; Dromaiidae
Exons: 2
Source: RefSeq, a predicted model, not a curated record